AGACGUAGGAUCCGAGCGUUGUCCGGAGUUACUGGGCGUAAAGCGCGCGCAGGCGGAUACGCGCAUCGGCGGUGAAAGCCCCCCGCUCAACGGGGGAGGGUCCGUCGAGAUGGCGUGUCUGGAGGCAGGGAGAGGCCAGUGGAAUUCCGGGUGUAGUGGUGAAAUGCGUAGAGAUCCGGAGGAACACCAGUGGCGAAGGCGGCUGGCUGGACCUGACCUGACGCUGAGGCGCGAAGGCGUGGGGAGCGAACGGGAUUAGAUACCCUAGUAGUCC
This 274-nucleotide ribosomal RNA is filed under the name Streptomyces sp. SID8455. RNAcentral describes it as "partial 16S ribosomal RNA". It matches the Rfam family "Bacterial small subunit ribosomal RNA", at positions 523 to 796 of the family's 1533-position model. The record is from RNAcentral. Lineage: Bacteria; Bacillati; Actinomycetota; Actinomycetes; Kitasatosporales; Streptomycetaceae.